RNAcentral lists this unclassified non-coding RNA (237 nucleotides) under Paraglomerales sp. RNAcentral describes it as "partial contains 5.8S ribosomal RNA and internal transcribed spacer 2". The stretch from base 1 to 65 matches the Rfam family "5.8S ribosomal RNA", at positions 84 to 154 of the family's 154-position model. Lineage: Eukaryota; Fungi; Glomeromycota; Glomeromycetes; Paraglomerales. The record is from RNAcentral.
GUGAAUCAUCGAAUUUUUGAACGCAAAUUGCGCCUUUUUCGGAAGGCAUGCCUGUUUGAGGGCACCAUUUAACAAAUCAUGUGCCCGUUGUGUGUAUUUUUACGCACACGUGCACACGUUGAUGAGCCCUCCCAACCAAAGAAAUUUUUCUGGUGGCACGUAAUCACCAGCGUGAGCUUUCCUCCAAUUUUUCCGUGUGUAGUAAAAUUUUUUUUUUCGGCGUUCGGGUAGUUGGAA